Molecule: ribosomal RNA, 120 nt
Filed under: Haemophilus influenzae
Lineage: Bacteria; Pseudomonadati; Pseudomonadota; Gammaproteobacteria; Pasteurellales; Pasteurellaceae
Also listed under: 1 other name
Source: RNAcentral
UUUUUGGCAGAGAUAGUGCAAUAGAUCCACCUGAUACCAUACCGAACUCAGAAGUGAAAUGUUGUAACGCUGAUGGUAGUGUGGGGUUUCCCCAUGUGAGAGUAAGGCACUGCCAAUCAU